RNAcentral lists this ribosomal RNA (490 nucleotides) under uncultured bacterium. RNAcentral describes it as "partial 16S ribosomal RNA". It matches the Rfam family "Bacterial small subunit ribosomal RNA", at positions 28 to 507 of the family's 1533-position model. The record is from RNAcentral.
GAUGAACGCUAGCUACAGGCUUAACACAUGCCAGUCGCAGGGUAACAUGAGGAAAGCUUGCUUUCCUUGAUGACGACUGGCGCACGGGUGAGUAACGCGUAUCCAACCUUCCCAUAACUACGGGAUAACCCGUUGAAAGACGGCCUAAUACCGUAUGAUAUCGUUUGCUGACAUCAAAUAACGAUUAAAGGUUUAGCGGUUAUGGAUGGGGAUGCGUCUGAUUAGCUUGUUGGCGGGGUAACGGCCCACCAAGGCGACGAUCAGUAGGGGUUCUGAGAGGAAGGUCCCCCACAUUGGAACUGAGACACGGUCCAAACUCCUACGGGAGGCAGCAGUGAGGAAGAUUGGUGAAUGGGCGAGAGCCUGAACCAGCCAAGUAGCGUGCAGGACGACGGCCCUAUGGGUUGUAAACUGCUUUUAUGUGGGGAUAAAGUGCGUGACGUGUCAUGCAUUGCAGGUACCACAUGAAUAAGGACCGGCUAAUUCCGUG